UACGAAGGGAGCUAGCGUUACUCGGAAUCACUGGGCGUAAAGCGUAUGUAGGCGGAACUACAAGUCAGAGGUGAAAUCCCCAGGCUCAACCUGGGAAUUGCCUUUGAAACUGUAGUUCUUGAGUGUGGUAGAGGAUGGUGGAAUUUCCAGUGUAGAGGUGAAAUUCGUAGAUAUUGGAAAGAACACCGGUGGCGAAGGCGACCAUCUGGGCCAUUACUGACGCUGAGAUACGAAAGCGUGGGGAGCAAACGGGAUUAGAUACCCCGGUAGUCCACGCCGUAAACGAUGAGUGCUAGUCGUUAGGUUUUCCUAGUGACACAGUUAACACGUUAAGCACUCCGCCUGGGGAGUACGGUCGCAAGAUUAAA
RNAcentral lists this ribosomal RNA (368 nucleotides) under uncultured bacterium. Its description in RNAcentral is "bacterial SSU rRNA". It matches the Rfam family "Bacterial small subunit ribosomal RNA", at positions 524 to 898 of the family's 1533-position model. The record is from RNAcentral.